This 101-nucleotide ribosomal RNA is filed under the name Vigna radiata var. radiata (mung bean). Lineage: Eukaryota; Viridiplantae; Streptophyta; Magnoliopsida; Fabales; Fabaceae. The record is from RNAcentral.
AGGACCAAUCAUACCAGCACUAAUGCACCGGAUCCCAUCAGAACUCCGCAGUCAAGCGUGCUUGGGCGAGAGUAGUACUAGGANAUACCUACUCAGUCUAC